RNAcentral lists this ribosomal RNA (442 nucleotides) under uncultured bacterium. RNAcentral describes it as "partial 16S ribosomal RNA". It matches the Rfam family "Bacterial small subunit ribosomal RNA", at positions 339 to 795 of the family's 1533-position model. The record is from RNAcentral.
CUACGGGGGGCUGCAGUGGGGAAUAUUGGGCAAUGGGCGAAAGCCUGACCCAGCAACGCCGCGUGAUUGAAGAAGGUCUUCGGAUUGUAAAAAUCUGUCCUUGGGGACGAAAAAAAUGACGGUACCCAAGGAGGAAGCCCCGGCUAACUACGUGCCAGCAGCCGCGGUAAUACGUAGGGGGCGAGCGUUGUCCGGAAUUACUGGGCGUAAAGGGUGCGCAGGCGGCGCUUUAAGUCAGAUGUGAAAUACCCAGGCUUAACCUGGGGGGUGCAUUUGAAACUGGAGUGCUUGAGUGCAGGAGAGGAAAGUGGAAUUCCUAGUGUAGCGGUGAAAUGCGUAGAUAUUAGGAGGAACACCAGUGGCGAAGGCGACUUUCUGGACUGUAACUGACGCUGAGACACGAAAGCGUGGGGAGCAAACAGGAUUAGAUACCCCGGUAGUC